Molecule: unclassified non-coding RNA, 150 nt
Organism: Macaca fascicularis (crab-eating macaque)
Lineage: Eukaryota; Metazoa; Chordata; Mammalia; Primates; Cercopithecidae
Rfam family: Metazoan signal recognition particle RNA
About the family: The signal recognition particle (SRP) is a universally conserved ribonucleoprotein. It is involved in the co-translational targeting of proteins to membranes. The eukaryotic SRP consists of a 300-nucleotide 7S RNA and six proteins: SRPs 72, 68, 54, 19, 14, and 9.
Source: Ensembl
GCUGGGCAUGGUGGCGCAUGCCUGUAGUCCCAGCUACUCAGGAGGCUGAGGUGGGAAGACUGCUUGAGCCCAGGAGGAUUCAAGGCUGCAGUGAGCUAUGAUCACAUCACUGAGCUCCAGCCUGGGCAACAGAGCAAAACCCUAUCUCUA